AAAGGGUUUCUCUCCAGUAUGAAGUCUCUGAUGUUGAGUAAGAUGAGUGCUCUGGCUAAAUGCUUUACCACAUUUGCUGUGUUCAUGAGGUUUCUCUCCGGUAUAAAUUCAGUGAUGUUCAGUAAGGGAUGAGUUUUCAGGGAAGUCCUUCCCACAUUCACUGCAUGUAUAGGGUUUUUCUCCAGUGUGAAUCCUCUGGUGUUGUGUAAACACUGAGUGGGCACUGAAUGCUUUUCCACAUUCAUUAUAUUUAUAAAGCUUUUCCUCAGUAUGAAUUCUCUGGUGUUGGGUAAGGUGUGUACUUCAUCUGAAUGCCCUCCCACCAUCACUACACUUAACAGGGUUUCACUCCCAUGUGAAUUCUCUGAUGUUGUGUAAGAGAUGAGGUAUCAGUGAAGGACUUCCCAAUCAAUGCAUUCAUAGGGUUUCUCCCCACUGUGAAUUCUCUGAUGAUGAAUAAAGGAUGAGUAGUCACUUUCCUAUAUUCAUUACAUAUAUAAGGUUUCUCCCCAGUGUUGCUGUUCAGUGAUGCUGAACAGAUGAAUUUACAGUGAAUGCCUUCCUACAAAUUUUACAUUUACAGGGUUUUUCUCCAGUAUGAGUUCUCUGAUAUUCAGUAAGACAUGAAUUCUGGAUAAAUGCUUUUCCACAGUCAUCACACUUAUGAGGUUUCUCACCAGUAUGAAUUCUUUCAUGAUAAAGUUUGAAUGGUCAAAUUUUUUCCAAAGUCAUUACAAUUAUGCUUUCUUUUUAGAAGUUCUUUGACUUAAUUGGAGAUAAAUUUCAUUUGACAUUUUUCCCAAAUGGAUCAAGUAUAUAUAUGUAGUUUCUCUUCUGAACAAGUAAUAUACUUUGGGAUAAGUUUAUAUCUUAAAUCAAAACUUCUCUCAAAUUCAUUAAAAGUAUGCCCAUUUUCCUCACAAGAUAGUUUUCAUGGGCAACUAUUAUUUGCUGGAAAUCAUUGGUUUGGGCGAGAGAGUUUUUUUUUUUUUUUUUAAUUUUGCCUAUAGAGUUCUCCUUCUGCUUUUCUAUCUUGGCCUCAAAUUCACAGAUUCCUUCAAAUAAAUACCCUUUGGACACAUCUCUGAGCCUUUCAAUGACGACAGAGAUGUUGCUGCUUACUCAAAAGUAUAUUCUACUGAUCUCUUUGGGAUCUGCUCUGGUCUUCACAUCUGAGGGGAAUAAAAAAUUUAUAAAAACAUUUUCUGUCCUGGGGAACUGCAUUCAGGAUUAAAAAAAAAUAACCUUACUAAAAUUAGAAUGCAUGUUUACAGUCUUGAAAUCUUGGAAAAUAAUAAGCCAGUGGAGUAGAGAUAAAUAGAGGCAGAAGUGCUGGGGAAGAAGCUGGCCCAACAGGCAAAGGCUCUGAAAGCUGAAAAAAAUGUUUUAAAGAUGUAGAAGUUUAACCUUCUCACUUAAAGAUGAACACGUUUAGAACUAGAGAGGUUAUGUGAUUAACCUAAAGAUACAGAAGUUAUUAAUGAGAUGGUCAGAUAUAGAACUCAGGCUUUGUCCACUACACUACCACAAUAUCUGGAGACUGAACAGAGCUUAAAUGAGAGAAUGGACAGGUACCUCUUCAAAAUACAAAUAAUGAAGGGGAAGCAUAACAGUGUUAGAAAAUGCAAAAGAAUGAAUGCUGUCAGAGUGACAGCACCUGGAGAGAAACCAUUAAGGAAUGUAAAAAUAGCACCUGAAAAAGCAAUGUACAAAGGAAUAAUCACUGAGGAAGGUCUAAAUCUGAACAGAACGGCAGAAUUUAAGGCAUUAAGGAGAGCUCUUUGGAUAACAUUUUUGAGAUCACAUUCCUAAACAUUCACCCCUAAGUUGCACAUACAGAUUUAUCCCUCUCUGAAUAAGUGCCUCUAAAGACAUCAACAUCUCACUAGAUCUCCACAAUUCUUUCCUGGGCUGAGACUAAUUUCAGAAACUGAGAAUUCUUCUAAUUGGAAAAAAAAAUACACAACAAAAUAAAAACUGUCAUUACUUAAAUAUUUUGAAAUGUUUCAAGCACUAUUAGUUUUUAAAAGGAUAUAAUCUGAAUCUCCCAAAAGUCUGUGUUGAAGGACAAAGACUGACCUCCAGUCAACAGAAAAGACAAGAUACCAUACUAGAGAAGAUACAAAGUCUGAGGAGGUGUUAUCAAACUGGUUGAAAAUGGAAGGGCAGUAUGACAAGGUGAUCUAAGAUCACAGUUAACAUCUGGGUGGAAUCAUUAACUAGAGACAACAGCAUUUUCACUGAUCAUAAACAUAAGAGAUGUUCUGGUACCAAGAGAGGUAAGGCACUAGAGAAUUGUUCCUUUCUCUCUUUUUUUAACAAAUACAAACCUCUGAGAAACCCAAAUGAAUAGUCACUUAAAUUGUGGAAACCACUUUGCUUCCUUAAUUAAAGAUUUGCAUACUCAAUUUUCAGCAAGUGUUAAGAAAUCUUGGAAAGGUGUAGAUUAUAGUGUACGGAUAAAUGCAAGUCCUUCACAAGGCCUCCAAAAAAACAACUGCUUCAAGUCAAAUUUGGGGUUUCCAAGCAAACAUUUUGGCAAAGGCUCACCGUCUAGGGGUUGCAGGUUGCAGUCCCGAGACUAAAAUCUGGCCCACUGCACCAAGGCUGCUGUCACAACCAGGAAACUCUGGGUCCGUUCAAAUCGUUUAAGCACUUGACAUUCCGUCCCUUUCCACCUCUGCUCUUCAUGAGCCGAGCGGGUGCCCUGGGGCUCCGCGGCUUCUGAGAGACCUGAGGUCCAGCUCCCCGUCAAGCCCCAACGCCUAAUGGCCGCUGCUCCCGGUCGGAGUGGAGGUGGGACAGCAGGGCCUCAGGCCGCACCGACCUUGUGGAAAACCAAGCUCCAGCCUGCCCUCCUCCGUCCGUGGCUACUCGCGCGACUCUCCCAGACCGCUUGGCCUGAGGGUACAAAAGCCCUAGACAACUGAACUGCAACUCCCAGAAUGCACCGGGCCAAGUCGCUUCCGUUUCCGUUCUCAGGGACUUCCCUUUCCCAGAAGUCCCUGAGAAAUCUCCGCUUCUGCUUACUUCUGCCCCUGAGCUGAGCAGAGGGGGCGGUGUGGAGGCGUCUCAGCCAACCAGGGCCGCAAGCCAGAAUCUCCGUGGUAACCGCCGAAGCCCACUCACUUCGGCGAUGCUCCCAGGGGAGGCAGAAGCUUGCAUCCGAGGUUUGGGGUUCUGGCCGGCGUUCCGCUUCUGGGGAUUGGUGUGCGCUUGACUGCCUCUCCGCGCUCAAUCGAACAGGCCCUGGGAAGAAAAGACAGUGUAAAAACUUUACAGACGUUAGAGGACGCUGUGGUCCUUUGGAUACUGUUUCUAACAAAUUCAGAUACUUCAAAAGCCAUCCAGAGGUCGACUGAGUUUGUUUUUAAUCUGUCAAGAGCUCAGGCAGCAUGGAAUGCUGAGUGAAGAAUAUGUGGCGGAAGAGAUCCACAAAGUACUUCAGCCCCUGAAAACAGUCAAGUCCCCGUUUCAGGGCCUUUGCAGCAGGAACAGUGGGGAGUCCCGUCCUGCUGUUUUAUUUUCUCAUUUUCUCUCUCUGGCCAAACCUGCAAAGAGCAUGAUAGAACCCUGUUGUAACUGCGAGUGUUUGUUUUCUGAUUACAAAUGUGACAGUAUGUUCAUUAUGCAAAAUCUGAAAAAUGUAGAAAAAAUAUUAAUAGAAAAAAAUACCAGGAGGAAAUACUAUUUUCGGCUGCAGGGAUUAUGGGCUUAAAAAUAUUUUUUAUCUUAUGUUUUUCCAUAUUUCCCAAAUUUUCUGCCAUGAAUUAGAAUUACUGCUGUAUCAUAAAAAGUUUUUAAAGUACAUAGUUUGCAAUUUAUAGAAAGGUCAUAUGGCUUUCUGUAAUGUGAGUAGCAUUACAUCUACUCACAAAGUUAGGCAUAGGGCAUAGAAGCAGGUGAUACUUCAGAGCUGAUCACAAACUUCACAAAUAAAAAAACUGGUAUAAGAUACAGAAUAUGGUAUGCCAUCAGUGACACUAGCAAGAUGAAAAAAAUGCAAGAGUGUAGAGCAGAGUCAGUCAAUGCUGGCACUUUACUGAUGAGGAAAAGGGAAUGUGCUGAUUGCUAAGAUGCUUGGUGAGCUCAGAAGAAGUCAGCAAAAUCACUGUCCUGUUGAGCAAGCCCAAAUUGUCUACCCACAGGAUCAUGAGCAAAUAAAUGACUGCAUUAA
This is a long non-coding RNA of Odocoileus virginianus texanus, 4177 nucleotides long. RefSeq lists it as uncharacterized. The record is from RefSeq and is a predicted model, not a curated record. Lineage: Eukaryota; Metazoa; Chordata; Mammalia; Artiodactyla; Cervidae.